Molecule: ribosomal RNA, 2930 nt
Filed under: Salmonella enterica subsp. diarizonae
Lineage: Bacteria; Pseudomonadati; Pseudomonadota; Gammaproteobacteria; Enterobacterales; Enterobacteriaceae
Description: bacterial LSU rRNA
Rfam family: Bacterial large subunit ribosomal RNA
Source: RNAcentral
GGGUUGUGAGGUUAAGCGACCAAGCGUACACGGUGGAUGCCCUGGCAGUCAGAGGCGAUGAAGGACGUGCUAAUCUGCGAAAAGCGCCGGUAAGGUGAUAUGAACCGUUAUAACCGGCGAUGUCCGAAUGGGGAAACCCAGUGUGACUCGUCACACUAUCAUUAACUGAAUCCAUAGGUUAAUGAGGCGAACCGGGGGAACUGAAACAUCUAAGUACCCCGAGGAAAAGAAAUCAACCGAGAUUCCCCCAGUAGCGGCGAGCGAACGGGGAGGAGCCCAGAGCCUGAAUCAGCAUGUGUGUUAGUGGAAGCGUCUGGAAAGGCGCGCGAUACAGGGUGAGAGCCCCGUACACAAAAGCGCAUAUGCUGUGAGCUCGAUGAGUAGGGCGGGACACGUGGUAUCCUGUCUGAAUAUGGGGGGACCAUCCUCCAAGGCUAAAUACUCCUGACUGACCGAUAGUGAACCAGUACCGUGAGGGAAAGGCGAAAAGAACCCCGGCGAGGGGAGUGAAACAGAACCUGAAACCGUGUACGUACAAGCAGUGGGAGCCUCUCUUUAUGGGGGGUGACUGCGUACCUUUUGUAUAAUGGGUCAGCGACUUAUAUUCUGUAGCAAGGUUAACCGCAUAGGGGAGCCGAAGGGAAACCGAGUCUUAAUUGGGCGUUAAGUUGCAGGGUAUAGACCCGAAACCCGGUGAUCUAGCCAUGGGCAGGUUGAAGGUUGGGUAACACUAACUGGAGGACCGAACCGACUAAUGUUGAAAAAUUAGCGGAUGACCUGUGGCUGGGGGUGAAAGGCCAAUCAAACCGGGAGAUAGCUGGUUCUCCCCGAAAGCUAUUUAGGUAGCGCCUCGUGAACUCAUCUCCGGGGGUAGAGCACUGUUUCGGCUAGGGGGCCAUCCCGGCUUACCAACCCGAUGCAAACUGCGAAUACCGGAGAAUGUUAUCACGGGAGACACACGGCGGGUGCUAACGUCCGUCGUGAAGAGGGAAACAACCCAGACCGCCAGCUAAGGUCCCAAAGUCAUGGUUAAGUGGGAAACGAUGUGGGAAGGCCCAGACAGCCAGGAUGUUGGCUUAGAAGCAGCCAUCAUUUAAAGAAAGCGUAAUAGCUCACUGGUCGAGUCGGCCUGCGCGGAAGAUGUAACGGGGCUAAACCAUGCACCGAAGCUGCGGCAGCGACACUUUAGUGUUGUUGGGUAGGGGAGCGUUCUGUAAGCCGUCGAAGGUGUGUCGUGAGGCAUGCUGGAGGUAUCAGAAGUGCGAAUGCUGACAUAAGUAACGAUAAAGCGGGUGAAAAGCCCGCUCGCCGGAAGACCAAGGGUUCCUGUCCAACGUUAAUCGGGGCAGGGUGAGUCGACCCCUAAGGCGAGGCCGAAAGGCGUAGUCGAUGGGAAACGGGUUAAUAUUCCCGUACUUGGUGUUACUGCGAAGGGGGGACGGAGAAGGCUAUGUUGGCCGGGCGACGGUAGUCCCGGUUUAAGCGUGUAGGUGUGUGUUCCAGGUAAAUCCGGUUCACUUUAACACUGAGGCGUGAUGACGAGGCACCACGGUGCUGAAGCAACAAAUGCCCUGCUUCCAGGAAAAGCCUCUAAGCAUCAGGUAACAUCAAAUCGUACCCCAAACCGACACAGGUGGUCAGGUAGAGAAUACCAAGGCGCUUGAGAGAACUCGGGUGAAGGAACUAGGCAAAAUGGUGCCGUAACUUCGGGAGAAGGCACGCUGACACGUAGGUGAAGUGAUUUACUCACGGAGCUGAAGUCAGUCGAAGAUACCAGCUGGCUGCAACUGUUUAUUAAAAACACAGCACUGUGCAAACACGAAAGUGGACGUAUACGGUGUGACGCCUGCCCGGUGCCGGAAGGUUAAUUGAUGGGGUCAGCGCAAGCGAAGCUCCUGAUCGAAGCCCCGGUAAACGGCGGCCGUAACUAUAACGGUCCUAAGGUAGCGAAAUUCCUUGUCGGGUAAGUUCCGACCUGCACGAAUGGCGUAAUGAUGGCCAGGCUGUCUCCACCCGAGACUCAGUGAAAUUGAACUCGCUGUGAAGAUGCAGUGUACCCGCGGCAAGACGGAAAGACCCCGUGAACCUUUACUAUAGCUUGACACUGAACAUUGAGCCUUGAUGUGUAGGAUAGGUGGGAGGCUUUGAAGCGUGGACGCCAGUCUGCGUGGAGCCGACCUUGAAAUACCACCCUUUAAUGUUUGAUGUUCUAACGUGGACCCGUAAUCCGGGUUGCGGACAGUGUCUGGUGGGUAGUUUGACUGGGGCGGUCUCCUCCUAAAGAGUAACGGAGGAGCACGAAGGUUGGCUAAUCCUGGUCGGACAUCAGGAGGUUAGUGCAAUGGCAUAAGCCAGCUUGACUGCGAGCGUGACGGCGCGAGCAGGUGCGAAAGCAGGUCAUAGUGAUCCGGUGGUUCUGAAUGGAAGGGCCAUCGCUCAACGGAUAAAAGGUACUCCGGGGAUAACAGGCUGAUACCGCCCAAGAGUUCAUAUCGACGGCGGUGUUUGGCACCUCGAUGUCGGCUCAUCACAUCCUGGGGCUGAAGUAGGUCCCAAGGGUAUGGCUGUUCGCCAUUUAAAGUGGUACGCGAGCUGGGUUUAGAACGUCGUGAGACAGUUCGGUCCCUAUCUGCCGUGGGCGCUGGAAGACUGAGGGGGGCUGCUCCUAGUACGAGAGGACCGGAGUGGACGCAUCACUGGUGUUCGGGUUGUCAUGCCAAUGGCACUGCCCGGUAGCUAAAUGCGGAAAAGAUAAGUGCUGAAAGCAUCUAAGCACGAAACUUGCCCCGAGAUGAGUCUUCCCUGAGACCUUGAGUCUCCUGAAGGAACGUUAAAGACGAUGACGUUGAUAGGCCGGGUGUGUAAGCGCAGCGAUGCGUUGAGCUAACCGGUACUAAUGAACCGUGAGGCUUAACCUUACAACGCCGAAG